This is a long non-coding RNA of Mercenaria mercenaria, 757 nucleotides long. RefSeq lists it as uncharacterized. Lineage: Eukaryota; Metazoa; Mollusca; Bivalvia; Venerida; Veneridae. The transcript has 4 exons. The record is from RefSeq and is a predicted model, not a curated record.
AGGAAAAACUGGUCGUAAAGCUGAAGUUGGACAAAGCGGUAAGUUUAAACAAAGACGCGGAGAACGCCGGCUUGAGGUAUGCUGACGUGAUUGACGUAUGCUGACGUGAUUGAGGUAUGCUGAUGUGAUUGAGGUAUGCUGACGUCAUUGAGGAUGCAUAUUCAAGUUCGAUAGAACGUAUCAGAUCUCUUCCGCUCCCAAAAUGUGACCUAUCUUAUGACGUCACGAACCUGAGAUUAUUUGUCACAGCCAGAAAGUUCCCGGGCACCCAAGAAUAUUUGAAGGAAAGAUUUAGUAGAGAUGAACAAACGUAUUUUCUUCUCGCAAGAAAAGUUUACGGUCAAUACAACAGCUCGUCUAACUGAAAAGCGAACACUUGAACAGGACAAGGAAACAGAGCGAAAAGUGCUUGUGUUCUAGAAAUAGAAAUAUUCAAAAGCAUCAGAAGUCACAGAAGGCUGGUCUUACCUAACGGAAGUUGGAGAAUCAUUGUAUUCGGGCUCCGAAAUCUGAGACGCCCAGAAAGUUGUUUUGAUAUUGGAAUUACUGACUUCGACAAUGACAAAAGCAGAUAUUUUAAAGACAGCAAGAUUACUACAUUAACUCUAUGUGAUAAGGCGCAUUGUACAAUUUACAGAGUAUGGUUGCCGUACUACUUUUGUUAAUGAUUACGCUAUCCCUAGUACUCAGUACUAGUAGGACAGUGGUUAGCUUACAAGUUCAUUGCAUACUGGGAGCAACCGCACUUGGAUAAAAG